This 908-nucleotide ribosomal RNA is filed under the name Stegana latipenis. Its description in RNAcentral is "eukaryotic LSU rRNA". It matches the Rfam family "Eukaryotic large subunit ribosomal RNA", at positions 97 to 793 of the family's 3401-position model. Lineage: Eukaryota; Metazoa; Arthropoda; Insecta; Diptera; Drosophilidae. The record is from RNAcentral.
AAAGAAAAUAGUUCAGCACUAAGUCACUUUGUCAUUAUGGCAAAUGUGAGAUGCAGUGUAUGGUGCGUCUUCAAUCUGGUAUGAGAAAUUAACGAUUUAAGUCCUUCUUAAAUGAGGCCAAUUACCCAUAGAGGGUGCCAGGCCCGUAUAACGUUAAUGAUUAUCAGAAGGCGUUUCCAAAGAGUCGUGUUGCUUGAUAGUGCAGCACUAAGUUGGUGGUAAACUCCAUCUAAAACUAAAUAUAACCAUGAGACCGAUAGUAAACAAGUACCGUGAGGGAAAGUUGAAAAGAACUCUGAAUAGAGAGUUAAAUAGUACGUGAAACUGCUUAGAGGUUAAGCCCGAUGAACCUGAAUAUCCAUUAUAGAAAAUUCAUCAUUAGAAUUGUAAUAUUUUUCUUUUUAUAAAAUGAAAGAAAAUAUAUAUUUAUAAUGAUAGUGUGCAUUUUUUCUAUAUAAGGACAUUGUAAUCUAUUAAUAUAUAAAAAUAUUUAUCAUAAAAUCAUAUACAAUUUAUGUUUAUUCAAAUUAUUAUAGCUUGCUAUUUUAACAUAGAAUAAAUUUGUUUAAUGAUUUGAUAAAGUGUUGAUAGAUUUAUCAUAUAUACGAUGCUUUAAUUUUUUUUCUAAAAAAAUUAUAUAAUAGCAUAUUUAUCUUAUGAUAUUUAUGUUUAAUUAUAUGCAUUUGUAUGAUUAACAAUGCGAAAGAUUCAGGAUACCUUCGGGACCCGUCUUGAAACACGGACCAAGGAGUCUAACAUAUAUGCAAGUCAUUGGGAUAUAUUUUUAUAAACCUAUUGGCAUAAUUAACUUAACUGUAAUAUAUUUAUAUAUGGGAUUAGUUUUUAUACUAAUUUAUUAGUUUAUUAACACAAUCCCGGGGCGUUUUAUAUAAUUAUGUAUAAUAAUA